GACGAACGCUGGCGGCGUGCUUAACACAUGCAAGUCGAGCGGUAAGGUCCUUUCGGGGGUACACGAGCGGCGAACGGGUGAGUAACACGUGGGUGACCUGCCUCUAGCUCUGGGAUAAGCCUGGGAAGCUGGGUCUAAUACCGGAUAUGACCUCGCGGUGCAUGUUGCGGGGUGGAAAGCCUUGUGCGGCUAGGGAUGGGCCCGCGGCCUAUCAGCUUGUUGGCGGGGUGANGGCCUACCAAGGCGACGACGGGUAGCCGGCCUGAGAGGGCGACCGGCCACACUGGGACUGAGACACGGCCCAGACUCCUACGGGAGGCAGCAGUGGGGAAUCUUGCGCAAUGGGCGAAAGCCUGACGCAGCGACGCCGCGUGAGGGAUGACGGCCUCGGUU
Molecule: ribosomal RNA, 393 nt
Filed under: uncultured bacterium
Lineage: Bacteria
Description: bacterial SSU rRNA
Rfam family: Bacterial small subunit ribosomal RNA
Source: RNAcentral